This 182-nucleotide unclassified non-coding RNA is filed under the name soil metagenome. Its description in RNAcentral is "partial internal transcribed spacer 1". The record is from RNAcentral.
CCGAGUUUACAACUCCCAAACCCAAUGUGAACCAUUACCAAACUGUUGCCUCGGCGGGGUCACGCCCCGGGUGCGUAGAAGCCCCGGAACCAGGCGCCCGCCGGAGGACCAACCAAACUCUUUCUGUAGUCCCCUCGCGGACGUAUUUCUUACAGCUCUGAGCAAAAAUUCAAAAUGAAUCA